RNAcentral lists this ribosomal RNA (253 nucleotides) under uncultured bacterium. RNAcentral's name for it is "partial 16S ribosomal RNA". It matches the Rfam family "Bacterial small subunit ribosomal RNA", at positions 524 to 776 of the family's 1533-position model. The record is from RNAcentral.
UACGUAGGGUGCGAGCGUUGUCCGGAAUUACUGGGCGUAAAGAGCUCGUAGGUGGUUUGUCGCGUUGUUCGUGAAAACUCACAGCUUAACUGUGGGCGUGCGGGCGAUACGGGCAGACUGGAGUACUGCAGGGGAGACUGGAAUUCCUGGUGUAGCGGUGGAAUGCGCAGAUAUCAGGAGGAACACCGGUGGCGAAGGCGGUUCUCUGGGCAUUUCCUGACGCUGAGGAGCGAAAGUGUGGGGAGCGAACAGG